This 204-nucleotide signal recognition particle RNA is filed under the name Cottoperca gobio. Its description in RNAcentral is "Metazoan signal recognition particle RNA (ENSCGOG00000012682.1)". It matches the Rfam family "Metazoan signal recognition particle RNA". From Rfam's summary of the family: The signal recognition particle (SRP) is a universally conserved ribonucleoprotein. It is involved in the co-translational targeting of proteins to membranes. The record is from RNAcentral. Lineage: Eukaryota; Metazoa; Chordata; Actinopteri; Perciformes; Bovichtidae.
AGGUGUGGUGGCGCGCGCCUGUAAUCCAAGCUACCGGGAAACUGGCGGAGCAUUUGAGCUCAGGAGCUCUGUGCUGCAACGGACUGUGCCAAUCGGGUGUCCGCACUAAUUUCGGUAUCGAUAUGGUGCUCCUGGGUAGUAAUGGGUUCGCGCCUGUGAGCAGACGCUGUAGUGCAGCCUGAGUAAUACAGCGGGAACCAGUCU